RNAcentral lists this ribosomal RNA (269 nucleotides) under uncultured prokaryote. RNAcentral describes it as "partial 16S ribosomal RNA". It matches the Rfam family "Bacterial small subunit ribosomal RNA", at positions 524 to 792 of the family's 1533-position model. The record is from RNAcentral.
UACGUAGGUGGCAAGCAUUGCUCGGAAUCAUUGGGCGUAGAGCGCGUGUAGGCAUUUUUAUAAGUCUCAUAUUAAAUCUCCUUUCUUAAAAAGGAGCAUGUAAGGGAUACUGUAAGAAUUGAGGAAGUUAGAGGCGACUGGAACUUGCGGUGUAGGAGUGAAAUCCAUUGAUAUCGCAAGGAACACCAAUGGCGAAAGCAGGUCGCUGGGACUUUUCUGACGCUGAGACGCGAAAGCGUGGGGAGCGAAUGGGAUUAGAUACCCGCGUA